RNAcentral lists this ribosomal RNA (468 nucleotides) under uncultured bacterium. Its description in RNAcentral is "partial 16S ribosomal RNA". It matches the Rfam family "Bacterial small subunit ribosomal RNA", at positions 28 to 507 of the family's 1533-position model. The record is from RNAcentral.
GACGAACGCUGGCGGCGUGCUUAACACAUGCAAGUCGAACGGAAAGGCCCUGCUUUUGUGGGUUGCUCGAGUGGCGAACGGGUGAGUAACACGGGAGUAACCUGCCCUUGACUUUGGGAUAACUUCAGGAAACUGGGGCAAAUACCGGAUAGGAGCUCCUGCGGCAUGGGGGGGGUGGGAAAGUUUCGGCGGUUGGGGAUGGACUCGCGGCUUAUCAGCUUGUUGGUGGGGUAGUGGCUUACCAAGGCUUUGACGGGUAGCCGGCCUGAGAGGGUGACCGGCCACAUUGGGACUGAGAUACGGCCCAGACUCCUACGGGAGGCAGCAGUGGGGAAUAUUGCACAAUGGGCGGAAGCCUGAUGCAGCAACGCCGCGUGCGGGAUGACGGCCUUCGGGUUGUAAACCGCUUUCGCCUGUGACGAAGCGUGAGUGACGGUAAUGGGUAAAGAAGCACCGGCUAACUACGUG